RNAcentral lists this ribosomal RNA (798 nucleotides) under Mycoplasma parvum. Its description in RNAcentral is "bacterial SSU rRNA". It matches the Rfam family "Bacterial small subunit ribosomal RNA", at positions 628 to 1463 of the family's 1533-position model. Lineage: Bacteria; Bacillati; Mycoplasmatota; Mollicutes; Mycoplasmatales; Mycoplasmataceae. The record is from RNAcentral.
GGAGAUUACAUUUCUAGAAUUAGUUAGAGGUCACUGGAAUUCAAUGUGUAGUGGUGGAAUACGUAGAUAUAUUGAGGAACACCAGAGGCUAAGGCGAGUGACUGGAACAUAAUUGACGCUGAGGCUUGAAAGCGUGGGUAGCAAAUGGGAUUAGAUACCCCAGUAGUCCACGCCGUAAACGAUGGGUAUUAGUCAUUUGGAUUUAAGCUGAGUGAUGUAGCUAACGCGUUAAAUACCCCGCCUGGGUAGUAUAUAUGCAAAUAUGAAACUCAAAGAAAUUGACGGGGACCUGAACAAGUGGUGGAGCAUGUUGCUUAAUUCGUUAAUACACGCAAAACCUUACCGAGGCUUGCAAUCCUCCGCGAAGCCAUAGAAAUAUGGUAGAGGUUAUCGGAGUGACAGGUGGUGCAUGGCUGUCGUCAGCUCGUGUCUUGAGAUGUUUGGUUAAGUCCCGUAACGAGCGCAACCCUUCAUAUUAGUUGUCUAGUUCUAAUAUGACUGAAUCGUAAGAUCUAGGAAGGAUGGGGCCAAGUCAAGUCAUCAUGCCCCUUAUGCCUCGGGCUGCAAACGUGCUACAAUGGUAGAUACAAUGUGUUACAAUCUAGCGAUAGUGAGUUAAUCACCUAAAGUCUAUCCCAGUCCGGAUAAAAGGCUGCAAUUCGCCUAUUUGAAGAUGGAAUCACUAGUAAUCCUGUGUCAGCUAUAUCAGGGUGAAUACGUUCCCAGGUCUUGUACACACCGCCCGUCAAACUACGAAAGAAAGUGCUAAUUAAAACCGUAUUUAAUUACGUCUAGAUU